Manis javanica (Malayan pangolin) is the source of this 108-nucleotide small nucleolar RNA. RefSeq annotates it as small nucleolar RNA SNORA70. The record is from RefSeq and is a predicted model, not a curated record. Lineage: Eukaryota; Metazoa; Chordata; Mammalia; Pholidota; Manidae.
AUACAGUAAAGAAAAUGACUGUGUGCAAUGGUGGCCAACAGCAGCCUCCUCAGUAGUGUAUGAAGCUUGUUGCUUUGUGGAUUGCCUUAAGGGGCCUCGGAGACCACU